GACGAACGCUGGCGGCGUGCUUAACACAUGCAAGUCGAACGGAAAGGCCCUGCUUUUGUGGGGUGCUCGAGUGGCGAACGGGUGAGUAACACGUGAGUAACCUGCCCUUGACUUUCGGAUAACUUCAGGAAACUGGGGCUAAUACCGGAUAGGAGCUCCUGCUGCAUGGUGGGGGUUGGAAAGUUUCGGCGGUUGGGGAUGGACUCGCGGCUUAUCGGCUUGUUGGUGGGGUAGUGGCUUACCAAGGCUUUGACGGGUAGCCGGCCUGAGAGGGUGACCGGCCACAUUGGGACUGAGAUACGGCCCAGACUCCUACGGGAGGCAGCAGUGGGGAAUAUUGCACAAUGGGCGGAAGCCUGAUGCAGCAACGCCGCGUGCGGGAUGACGGCCUUCGGGUUGUAAACCGCUUUCGCCUGUGACGAAGCGUGAGUGACGGUAAUGGGUAAAGAAGCACCGGCUAACUACGUG
This 468-nucleotide ribosomal RNA is filed under the name uncultured bacterium. RNAcentral's name for it is "partial 16S ribosomal RNA". It matches the Rfam family "Bacterial small subunit ribosomal RNA", at positions 28 to 507 of the family's 1533-position model. The record is from RNAcentral.